This 475-nucleotide ribosomal RNA is filed under the name uncultured bacterium. RNAcentral's name for it is "bacterial SSU rRNA". It matches the Rfam family "Bacterial small subunit ribosomal RNA", at positions 330 to 793 of the family's 1533-position model. The record is from RNAcentral.
CUGUGACUCCUACGGGAGGCAGCAGUGGGGAAUAUUGCACAAUGGGGGAAACCCUGAUGCAGCCAUGCCGCGUGGUGUGAAGAAGGCCUUCGGGUUGUAAAGCACUUUCAGUAGGGAGGAAGGUAGUGUAGUUAACACCUGCAUUAUUUGACGUUACCUACAGAAGAAGCACCGGCUAACUCCGUGCCAGCAGCCGCGGUAAUACGGAGGGUGCGAGCGUUAAUCGGAAUUACUGGGCGUAAAGCGCAUGCAGGCGGCCUGUUAAGUCAGAUGUGAAAGCCCGGGGCUUAACCUCGGAAUUGCAUUUUGAAACUGGCAGGCUAGAGUCUUGUAGAGGGGGUAGGAAUUUCAGGUGUAGCGGUGAAAUAGCGUAGAGAUCUGAAGGAAUACCAGUGGCGAAGGCGGCCCCCUCGGACAAAGACUGACGCUCAGAUGCGAAAGCGUGGGGAGCAAACAGGAUUAGAUACCCUGGUAG